RNAcentral lists this transfer RNA (66 nucleotides) under uncultured Eubacterium sp. It matches the Rfam family "tRNA", at positions 5 to 66 of the family's 71-position model. Rfam says of the family: Transfer RNA (tRNA) molecules are approximately 80 nucleotides in length. Lineage: Bacteria; Bacillati; Bacillota; Clostridia; Eubacteriales; Eubacteriaceae. RNAcentral also lists the same sequence under 1 other name. The record is from RNAcentral.
GUGUAGCUCAGCUGGAUAGAGCGUCUGGCUACGGACCAGAAGGUCGAGGGUUCGAAUCCUUUCACG